CAGAUGGUUAUUAGAGAAUAACUAGUAUUCAGUAUGACCAUACGAGAGAUCAUUUGGAUUUCUAUUUGAUCAUCAGUGAUUGUCUCGAUGCUGUAGUUGUGUGAAUGAUCUUUUGACUUGAGAUAGUACUGCUACUCACAGCGAGGCUGCUAAAGUUUGACUGAAACAUAAAUAUGGAUCUCAAUAAGCCCUUGUAGUAGAUGUUGACGAUAGUUAGUCCACUGUAGG
Molecule: long non-coding RNA, 228 nt
Filed under: Elaeis guineensis (African oil palm)
Lineage: Eukaryota; Viridiplantae; Streptophyta; Magnoliopsida; Arecales; Arecaceae
Description: long non-coding RNA (EGUI_LNC052889)
Source: RNAcentral